Molecule: long non-coding RNA, 311 nt
Organism: Rhinolophus ferrumequinum (greater horseshoe bat)
Lineage: Eukaryota; Metazoa; Chordata; Mammalia; Chiroptera; Rhinolophidae
Exons: 3
Source: RefSeq, a predicted model, not a curated record
UGCCAAAGAGAGAAACAGAAGGCAUCACAUAUCAAGAGUCAUGUAGCAUCUCCAGAAAUCCAGUAUGUUUUCAAGAUGUCCGUCUCCUGAGUACUGAGGUUCUGUCUAUUGAAACCCCAAUAUGGUCACCAUUUACCAAUGGAAGCAUGUGGAAAGCAGUUGUGGUGCUUCAAACAAUUAGAAAUUGUCCUCCAGAGACUGGAUAUGCAAGUUGUCUAGAAGUUUGGGAAUAUUAGCAACAUCAAAGCAGGAGGUUCAGUUUUUUCCUACUAUCCUGGUACCAUACAAUCCCAAAGCGUUUACAAAUCUCU